Long non-coding RNA from Amblyraja radiata (thorny skate), 200 nucleotides. RefSeq lists it as uncharacterized. The transcript is spliced from 3 exons. Lineage: Eukaryota; Metazoa; Chordata; Chondrichthyes; Rajiformes; Rajidae. The record is from RefSeq and is a predicted model, not a curated record.
UAGAAACAAGCACAGGUUUUCAGUACAAGAUGUUGCAAGUGUGGACCUUCUUUAUUUUACAAAAGUACACUGCACAUCAUCACAUAUUUACGAGACCGAUAUGAUAAUGAAUAUAUCACAUGACACAAAUCACCCCAUUCUGGUACUCAGUUCUUAAAGUUACAGUUACUAUUAUAUACACUACACUACUCUCAACCACA